This 5029-nucleotide long non-coding RNA is filed under the name Homo sapiens (human). RNAcentral describes it as "HSALNT0356671". Lineage: Eukaryota; Metazoa; Chordata; Mammalia; Primates; Hominidae. The record is from RNAcentral.
GAGAAGGGAGGAGUUAUUCAGGCCUCCGCCAGCUUCUAGGCCCUGGGGAUGGUCUUUCACCUCCCUCUUUCUGAUCUCUUUUUCAUGCUCCUCCUUGCUCCAAAGAAAAGCCGGAUGGCAAAAGAGCCCAGAACCUAUUGGAACUGACAAAAUCAAGUCACGGCGCCUACAAAGAUGAGGGGCAGAUUCUGGCUGCCUUUUAAUUUCGUCCUUCACCUGAUAUCUGUGCCAGAGAAUGUCUUCCAGGAGUUCUGCUACAGAGAAGAGAGUAACCCCCAUCCAUCAUGGCCAAAGCACCCAGUCAGGCUCCGCUCUGGAUCCAGCCCGACAAAUGCAACCCUUGAAUAGGGUUUGUGCAAGCAAACUGGAUGACGACCGAAGAAACCCUGUCGCUUCUGAGAAGACACCCAAUCCAAGAAUGAAAGCAUCAGGUUCAAUACCUAGGAACUCCUGUAGAGGGUGUUGUGGAAUCUUCUUUAAAAGAACAAAACAAGGCAAAACAAAGUUUAAUAGGGUAGAGCAGCCAGGUGUGGUGGGUCAUGCCUGUAAUCUCAGCAAUUUGGGAGGCCAAGGCAGGAUCUCAGCAAUUUGGGAGGCGAAGGCAGGCAGAUCACUUGAGCCUAGGAGUUCAAGACCAGCUUGGGCAACAUAGCAAGACCCUGCCUAUACCAAAAAAAAAAAGUGAACCUAGGAGUAUGAGGCUGCAGUAAGCUGUGGUUGUACCAGUGCACUUUGGGAGGCCAAGGUAGGCGGGUCUUCUGAGAUCGAGAGUUUGAGACCAGCCUGACCAACAUGGAGAAACCCCGUCUCUACUAAAAGUACAAAAUUAGCCGGCAUGGUGGUGCAUGCCUGUAAUCCCAGCUACUCGGGAGGCUGAGGCGGGAGAAUUGCUUGAACUCAGGAGGCAGAGGUUGUGGUGAGCCAAGAUCGCGCCAUUGCACUCCAGCCUGGACAACAAGAGCGAAACUCCAUCACAAACAAACAAACAAUAAACAAAAACCAUAGAGUGAUUUCUGGCCAACAGAGCAAGAAAGAAGUGAACCAAUGAAAACCGGUCCAAGUCUGGGAGUCAAUAUGGAAAAGCUGCCUAAUUAAUGUGGAAGCCCCAGGGAAAUGAUAUACCAUGAAAACCUAACACUACAAAAACUAGUUGUCAGACACAUGUGAGCAGUGAACAGAAUCCUAAUAUGCUGGUUUAACAUUCAAAACUGGAGAGUGUUUGUGUAUCUUCUAAAGACUGUUUGGGGUUUAUUUGUGGAGUUCAGCUGAGUGUCAUCAGAACAAAGAUUAGUGCAAAAAAUCUUUCAGAAAUCAUGCCCAAACAUUUGCAUGCACCUUAAAUAAGAAAUGAAAUAGCAAGAAGAGUAUGUCACAAUAAAGUAUAAAUAGCAAGUGAUAUGUCUCAUCGUACUGAGACAGUUUUAUAAAUGAGGCAAAGGCCUUGUCAAAAAAUAAUGAUGAUUUUCAAAAUUCUGAAACGCAAAGGAGGAAAACUACUUCAUUCAGUUAACAGGAAGCACACAAGAAUCUCCCCAUCAACCAAGAUUUUUUUUUUCUAUAACCCACGCUUUGUAAGACAAUAAUAGCAAAAACUAUAAACUAGAAUUUGUUGAAAGAACAACUUCUAGAAUUUGCCCUUUAUGUGCUGUUUUACCAUUGUCAUGUCUGUCUCUGGUAUGACUUCCUCAUCUAUUAGUAGCCUCCUAAUAAAUUUGAACAAAUGAAUGAAUGAAUAAGAGACAACUAAGCAUGAGGUAUUGCAAGAUGGUAACUCAUCCAGGGAAAAUUAAAACCUGGAGUGGAUCAGAUGGAAAAACAAAAUAAGACACUAGAAAAAAAUCACCAGGAGGGUUUCAAACCAAAAGAUCCCCUGGUUAACCUUCAGCUAAUUAUAAGAUUUAAUUAACUAGAAAAACUCAAUCCUUGUUUAUUCUAUUUAAUUGAGAUUUUACCAUAUUUAAAAUGAUGUUACUCAAGUGUUCUCAUUAAUAUUUAAUGAAAGUGUGAGAGAAUUGGCUAACCAAAUUUACUGUGCUUAGGUAAACUGUAAUUAGGAAGGGUUAGCAGAGCAUCCCAAGGGACCUAUCAAUCACAAAAUGAAGCGAUACAAUUACAGAUGAAUUUCAACAAGGAAACACACAAAACAGUGAUCCUCAAAAAAGAUGGAAUAAAAUUACUUGAAUGUGGUAGUCGGUUCUGAGAAAUGCAAUCAAUCACAUGUCAUUUCAGACAACUCAGAAGGAAUAACCCUACCCAACAGACUUGAACUCUUUGUGUGUGUGUGUGUGUGUGUGUCUGUGUGUGUGAUAGAAUUUCACUCUUGUCGCCCAGGCUGGAGUGCAGUGCGAUCUCGGCUCACUGCAACCUCUGCCUCCCAGGUUCAAGCAAUUCUUCUGCCUCACCCUCCCUAGUAGCUGAGAUUAUAGGUGCCCACCACCACACCCGGCUAAUUUUGUAUUUUUAGUAGAGAAGGGGUUUCACCAUGUUGGCCAGGCUGGUCUCGAACUCCUGACCUCAGGUGAUCUUCCCACCUGGGCCUCCCAAAGUGCUGGGAUUACAGGCAUGAGCCACUGCACCUGGCCCAGACUUGAACUCUUGAUUGCAUGAAAGUGUAUUAAUCUUCUAUCUGCUUAUUCCCAAUUUCCCAGCUGAUAAAAUGCCCCACUGUUAUUUCACUUAAAUUUGGAAUAACCUGCAUCUAGUUAAGUUGGAGCUACUUUGUCUUGUUGCAGAUUUUCUUUUGCUUUGCUGUCUUCAUUCUAACUUGGCAGAGCCCAGGUGCUUUGUCUCUAUUUGCCUGCAAGACCUCUUUUCCAAGACAUGUCAGGUUUCUCUCUAAAGUACCUUCCACCUGGAGGAUAUCUGUUCUUGUUCUUUAAUUCCUGGCCCUAUUUCCUAUUCAUCUGAAAAACUAGGCUUUGUGAGCAGGAUCAUGCAUGGCAAUGAGUUCUAAUGAGUUUUUAAUGUUUCACACUUCAUGAUGAACAUAUAUUUGCAUUUCAGAAAAUGCUUUUAAGGAAUGUUUUUUUUUUUCUGCCCUCACUCCUAACUCAGUUGCCUUUAAGCAAAACCAAAGAGAGCCAUGGCCAGCCUGUUCAAAUGGCUGCAAUCAUUUAAGCCCCUCUCGCUGCACCCUGGCCCCUCUUGCCUCCCUAGCCUGCCCAUGCUUGCCCCUGUCUCAACUUCUACCCCCACUCCAGCUGAAGAGAUUUGCCAUUCUCAGCUUUCACCUUUGGGGAUCCCUCUUGACCAUGGUUAGCAAUUGCUGUGACCAUCCUCACAUCACAGAUUUUUGGGCUUCUGUUUCUUAGGACAAUGCCUGCUCUCCCUGCUAGCCUAUCCCUCAUCCCAGGCCCUCCAACCUCCAGCCACUGCAACUCUAGAGCCACAUCCUAUCCCAUUGACUAACCCAACUGCCAAGCCAAGCCCAAUCCCCAGACCUGGAGCUCAGAGAAAUUAUUAAUCCAAUCAAAGGCACUAAAGUUGGGAUUCUGACUCUGAAGCAGGUACCAAAUUUUGGACAGAGAGGGGCUCCUGAAACCAUACUAUUCCUGCAUUAAGUGUCUGGCACUAGGCAGGGGAUAUGAUGUGAUCUAACAAGGCCAUGCACUGGAAUUAACCUGCGUGAGCUCCACUUGGCUGCCCUCUAAAGGUCAAUGCAUUGUUUGAGCCUAGGGGAGCCAGUCACUGCUACAUCAAUGGCUGCAUCACGGUAUCCUUUUUAGGACUAAACCUGCAUUUUCCUAAUAUUCAGGUCUGUAGAAACUUUGACUGCAAGAAUUUUACAGGAAUGGGUAAAUAUCUGUAAGUACUUAAAAGUAUAUAUGGUAAUAUACAAUAUGAUAGAAGAAAUAAGACCUAAUGUUAGAUAGAUCAGCAGGGUAAUUAUAGUUUACAACCAUCUUUUGUACAAUUCAAAAUAGCUACAAGAGAAAAAGGUGAGUGUUUUUAGCAUAAAGAAAAGACAAAUACUUAAUGGAUAUCCCAAGUAUACUGAUUUGAUAUUUACAAAUUAUACAAAUGUAUUAAAUUGUCAUGUGUACUCCAAAACUAUGUACAUUAUUAUGCAUCAAUUAACAAAAGAUAAAAGUAUGUAUGAAUCAGUAAGUACUUCUAAGGACCUGUAAAUCCAUAUAAGUGCACAUUAGUAUAAGAGAACUAAGGAGAAUUUGAGAUCAGUGUUUACACAGUGCUAGCAUUUUGUUAUCUAAAACACCUCUUUUUCAACUCUAUCAAAGAUUGAAUGCAUUUUUUAAUUCAAGGAAUAUAAUAUUCAGGAUGAUUAUUUUUAUUACAGCUGUGGGCUUUUUCCUUGGGCAUUGAACGCUUCCAUUUAGUUCAACUACUUAUUAUCUUUUCUUCUCCUCUUCUUUUUUUUUUUUGCUUAACUUUCUAUUUCUUUCCCAGUAAUAACAUAUAUUUUCUCAACUUCUUAAAUCUCUUUAUUAGAUACAGUCGAAUGUAAUUUGGAAUUUACGAGUCUUAUCACAUUCUCAUUCUGCUUGAGCAAUUCAAGAUAUAAGAAAAACAGACUGUCUACAUUUCUUCAGAGUUCCUCCAACUAUUGGCUUAAAAUUCCUGAAAUUAAAAUUAUAGUUCUUUGACAUCGCUUCUGUCUAAUCAUUGCUGAUACCUGGAAAACACCAAAUGGCUUACUUACACAGUGUCCCACUCUGAAAUUUCUCACAUAAAGGAUUGUCUUACACAGAAAUACUGACCAUUUUGACAAGGGAAUGGCCCUAGAAUUGGGCCAGAGCUAAAAAUAAGCAGAAUAAACAAUUUUGAUAUUCUUCUUCAAUGGUCAUAAAUCUAGUUAGCAUGUUAUCAUUUACAUAUUAUGAUUUUGUUCAUGAUAGUUGUAGUAGAAUGGCCUAAAGAAAUCAAGAUCUGUUUUAUCUUCUACAUUACUUUAGUUACUGUAAGACUGAUAACUCACAUUGUCGUUUACCAAGUAUUUCCAUUUGUUCCUUGGAAUAAUCCUGUGAAGUGGGUAUUUUUUAUCACUAGUUUCAUAUAAUGAAUAUAUUAC